UACAGAGGGUGCGAGCGUUGUCCGGAAUCACUGGGCGUAAAGCGCGUGUAGGCGGCUCGAUAAGUCUGGUGUGAAAGCCCGGGGCUCACCCCCGGAAGUGCAUCGGAUACUGUCGAGCUCGAGUCUCGGAGAGGAGAGUGGAAUUCCUGGUGUAGCGGUGAAAUGCGUAGAUAUCAGGAGGAACACCGGUGGCGAAGGCGGCUCUCUGGACGAUGACUGACGCUGAGACGCGAAAGCGUGGGGAGCAAACAGG
Molecule: ribosomal RNA, 253 nt
Filed under: uncultured bacterium
Lineage: Bacteria
Description: partial 16S ribosomal RNA
Rfam family: Bacterial small subunit ribosomal RNA
Source: RNAcentral